UGUAAGUAUUCUCUAGCUCCUUCACUUGCCUUUUGCAAGACUCCCCCGCCUUCUGCAUAGGGAAGUUUACUUCAUCUUAUACUUACCUUUUGUAAGAACUCUCCGCCUUUUGUGUGAGGAAGGUCCUUUAUUUCCUUUUGCAUGAGGGAUUGCAUUUGUUCCUCGUUUUCCUUUCAUAAAUCUUCCUAGCCUUUUGCUAAGGAAUUC
Molecule: long non-coding RNA, 207 nt
Filed under: Lathyrus oleraceus (garden pea)
Lineage: Eukaryota; Viridiplantae; Streptophyta; Magnoliopsida; Fabales; Fabaceae
Description: Pisum sativum (pea) long non-coding RNA (PSAT_LNC011651)
Source: RNAcentral